This is a long non-coding RNA of Leptinotarsa decemlineata (Colorado potato beetle), 354 nucleotides long. Lineage: Eukaryota; Metazoa; Arthropoda; Insecta; Coleoptera; Chrysomelidae. The record is from RefSeq and is a predicted model, not a curated record.
UUGCGAAAGUUGUUUCCUCGAUUUCAUCUUUCAUUUGUGUUUGAGGUAUUGUACAGAGAAUACUUCUGCUGUUAUAAAGGGAAUCGUCUAGUUUUUUGCUAACUAGACUUUUUUCAACAGCCAAAACAUGAGGGCUAAGUGGCGUAAGAAGCGUAUGCGAAGGCUAAAGCGAAAACGCAGGAAGAUGCGUGCGAGAUCUAAGUAGAUGUAUAUUAUGGAAUUUCAUCAGUUUUUUCACUCUGGGGAGUUUCUGUUGAAACAUUCAAAACUUCAAAAUUCAUCCAGUGACUACUUGUAUCAUUGACAUGUACAUUGUGAUGACACCAAAAAAAUAAUAAAAAUAUUUAAAAAAAA